UCCUACGGGAGGCAGCAGUAGGGAAUCUUCCGCAAUGGACGAAAGUCUGACGGAGCAACGCCGCGUGAGUGAUGAAGGUUUUCGGAUCGUAAAACUCUGUUGUUAGGGAAGAACAAGUACCGGAGUAACUGCCGGUACCUUGACGAUACCUAACCAGAAAGCCACGGCUAACUACGUGCCAGCAGCCGCGGUAAUACGUAGGUGGCAAGCGUUGUCCGGAAUUAUUGGGCGUAAAGCGCGCGCAGGCGGUUCCUUAAGUCUGAUGUGAAAGCCCCCGGCUCAACCGGGGAGGGUCAUUGGAAACUGGGGAACUUGAGUGCAGAAGAGAAGAGUGGAAUUCCACGUGUAGCGGUGAAAUGCGUAGAGAUGUGGAGGAACACCAAUGGCGAAGGCAGAUCUCUGGGCCGUAACUGACGCUGAGGAGCGAAAGCAUGGGGAGCGAACAGGAUUAGAUACCCUGGUAGUCCAUGCCGUAAACGUUGGGAACUAGAUGUGGGGACCAUUCCACGGUCUCCGUGUCGCAGUUAACGCAUUAAGUUCCCCGCCUGGGGAGUACGGCCGCAAGGCUAAAACUCAAAGGAAUUGACGGGGGCCCGCACAAGCGGCGGAGCAUGCGGAUUAAUUCGAUGCAACGCGAAGAACCUUACCAAGGCUUGACAUAUACCGGAAACGGCUGGAAACAGUCGCCCCGCAAGGUCGGUAUACAGGUGGUGCAUGGUUGUCGUCAGCUCGUGUCGUGAGAUGUUGGGUUAAGUCCCGCAACGAGCGCAACCCUCGUCCUAUGUUGCCAGCACGUAAUGGUGGGAACUCAUGGGAUACUGCCGGGGUCAACUCGGAGGAAGGUGGGGAUGACGUCAAAUCAUCAUGCCCCUUAUGUCUUGGGCUUCACGCAUGCUACAAUGGCCGGUACAAAGGGCUGCGAUACCGCAAGGUGGAGCGAAUCCCAAAAAGCCGGUCUCAGUUCGGAUUGAGGUCUGCAACUCGACCUCAUGAAGUCGGAGUCGCUAGUAAUCGCAGAUCAGCAACGCUGCGGUGAAUACGUUCCCGGGCCUUGUACACACCGCC
This 1065-nucleotide ribosomal RNA is filed under the name uncultured Cryobacterium sp. Its description in RNAcentral is "bacterial SSU rRNA". It matches the Rfam family "Bacterial small subunit ribosomal RNA", at positions 337 to 1394 of the family's 1533-position model. Lineage: Bacteria; Bacillati; Actinomycetota; Actinomycetes; Micrococcales; Microbacteriaceae. The record is from RNAcentral.